This 92-nucleotide transfer RNA is filed under the name Mycolicibacterium psychrotolerans. RNAcentral describes it as "tRNA-Gly". The record is from RNAcentral. Lineage: Bacteria; Bacillati; Actinomycetota; Actinomycetes; Mycobacteriales; Mycobacteriaceae.
GUCGUCGUGCACCAGGGCGCAGGCGUGCAGCAGCUCCAGUGCCGAGAACAGCCGCAGCACGGCGGCAUCGGGUUCGGUGCCCGCGACGGCGC